RNAcentral lists this ribosomal RNA (368 nucleotides) under uncultured organism. Its description in RNAcentral is "partial 23S ribosomal RNA". It matches the Rfam family "Bacterial large subunit ribosomal RNA", at positions 2099 to 2465 of the family's 2925-position model. The record is from RNAcentral.
CUUGACUGUAUCCUGGAAUUGGGUUCGGGCUUUUCUUGCGCAGCCUAGGUGGGAGGCUAUGAAGGUUCUCUUCCGGGAGAACCAGAGCCAUCAGUGAGAGACCACUCUGGAAGAGCUAGAAUCCUAAUGGUGAUCUUUGAAUCAAGACACUUGACAGUUUCAGGUGGGCAGUUUAUCUGGGGCGGAUGCCUCCUAAAAGGUAACGGAGGCGUGCAAAGGUUCUCUCAGUCUGGACGGAAAUCAGACAUUGAGUGCAAAGGCAAAAGAGAGCUUGACUGCAAGACCAACAAGUCGAGCAGGGGCGAAAGCCGGCCUUAGUGAUCCGACGGUGCCGCGUGGAAGGGCCGUCGCUCAACGGAUAAAAGUUA